RNAcentral lists this ribosomal RNA (253 nucleotides) under uncultured bacterium. RNAcentral's name for it is "partial 16S ribosomal RNA". It matches the Rfam family "Bacterial small subunit ribosomal RNA", at positions 524 to 776 of the family's 1533-position model. The record is from RNAcentral.
UACGUAGGGGCCGAGCGUUGUCCGGAGUUAUUGGGCGUAAAGCGCGCGCAGGCGGCCUCGCGCGCCCGACGUGAAAGCCCCCGGCUUAACCGGGGAGGGUCGUUGGGGACGGCGGGGCUUGAGGGCGGGAGAGGGUGGUGGAGUUCCCGGUGUAGUGGUGAAAUGCGUAGAGAUCGGGAGGAACACCCGUGGCGAAGGCGGCCACCUGGGCCGACCCUGACGCUGAGGCGCGAAGGCGUGGGGAGCGAACGGG